This 434-nucleotide ribosomal RNA is filed under the name uncultured bacterium. RNAcentral's name for it is "partial 16S ribosomal RNA". It matches the Rfam family "Bacterial small subunit ribosomal RNA", at positions 29 to 507 of the family's 1533-position model. The record is from RNAcentral.
AGCGAAUGCUGGCGGCAGGCCUAACACAUGCAAGUCGAACGAACCUUUCGGGGUUAGUGGCGGACGGGUGAGUAACACGUGGGAACGUGCCUUUAGGUUCGGAAUAACUCAGGGAAACUUGUGCUAAUACCGAAUGUGCCCUUCGGGGGAAAGAUUUAUCGCCUUUAGAGCGGCCCGCGUCUGAUUAGCUAGUUGGUUGAGGUAAUGGCUCACCAAGGCGACGAUCAGUAGCUGGUCUGAGAGGAUGAUCAGCCACAUUGGGACUGAGACACGGCCCAAACUCCUACGGGAGGCAGCAGUGGGGAAUCUUGCGCAAUGGGCGAAAGCCUGACGCAGCCAUGCCGCGUGAAUGAUGAAGGUCUUAGGAUUGUAAAAUUCUUUCACCGGGGACGAUAAUGACGGUACCCGGAGAAGAAGCCCCGGCUAACUUCGUG